This 227-nucleotide unclassified non-coding RNA is filed under the name Hevea brasiliensis (rubber tree). Lineage: Eukaryota; Viridiplantae; Streptophyta; Magnoliopsida; Malpighiales; Euphorbiaceae. The record is from RNAcentral.
CACGGGUCAUGAACCAAGAGAUCAGUCUGCUUAGCCAAUGGCAACUAUAAUGACAUUUCCUAACCAUCCAAGAAAUGCUAAGCUUCUAUAUAAAGAGUGUCACGGAUCUAGAGUUUUAGCUGUAAGUGUAAGAUGCACAGCAUGCUUUAACAAGGCUGCUCAUCCCUUUGGCCAGAAACUCUAUUCUCAAUGUUCUUAUCUCUAUUUUGCUGAACCAUAUCGGGACA